CUACGGGAGGCUGCAGUGGGGAAUAUUGCACAAUGGGCGCAAGCCUGAUACAGCCAUGCCGCGUGUAUGAAGAAGGCCUUCGGGUUGUAAAGUACUUUCAGCGGGGAGGAAGGGAGUAAAGUUAAUACCUUUGCUCAUUGACGUUACCCGCAGAAGAAGCACCGGCUAACUCCGUGCCAGCAGCCGCGGUAAUACGGAGGGUGCAAGCGUUAAUCGGAAUUACUGGGCGUAAAGCGCACGCAGGCGGUUUGUUAAGUCAGAUGUGAAAUCCCCGGGCUCAACCUGGGAACUGCAUCUGAUACUGGCAAGCUUGAGUCUCGUAGAGGGGGGUAGAAUUCCAGGUGUAGCGGUGAAAUGCGUAGAGAUCUGGAGGAAUACCGGUGGCGAAGGCGGUCCCCUGGACGAAGACUGACGCUCAGGUGCGAAAGCGUGGGGAGCAAACAGGAUUAGAUACCCCCGUAGUC
This 464-nucleotide ribosomal RNA is filed under the name uncultured bacterium. Its description in RNAcentral is "partial 16S ribosomal RNA". It matches the Rfam family "Bacterial small subunit ribosomal RNA", at positions 339 to 795 of the family's 1533-position model. The record is from RNAcentral.